This 915-nucleotide ribosomal RNA is filed under the name uncultured bacterium. RNAcentral describes it as "bacterial SSU rRNA". It matches the Rfam family "Bacterial small subunit ribosomal RNA", at positions 33 to 932 of the family's 1533-position model. The record is from RNAcentral.
ACGCUGGCGGCGUGCCUAAUACAUGCAAGUAGAACGCUGAAGGAGGAGCUUGCUUCUCCGGAUGAGUUGCGAACGGGUGAGUAACGCGUAGGUAACCUGCCUGGUAGCGGGGGAUAACUAUUGGAAACGAUAGCUAAUACCGCAUAAUAGUAGAUGUUGCAUGACAUUUGCUUAAAAGGUGCAAUUGCAUCACUACCAGAUGGACCUGCGUUGUAUUAGCUAGUUGGUGGGGUAACGGCUCACCAAGGCGACGAUACAUAGCCGACCUGAGAGGGUGAUCGGCCACACUGGGACUGAGACACGGCCCAGACUCCUACGGGAGGCAGCAGUAGGGAAUCUUCGGCAAUGGACGGAAGUCUGACCGAGCAACGCCGCGUGAGUGAAGAAGGUUUUCGGAUCGUAAAGCUCUGUUGUAAGAGAAGAACGAGUGUGAGAGUGGAAAGUUCACACUGUGACGGUAUCUUACCAGAAAGGGACGGCUAACUACGUGCCAGCAGCCGCGGUAAUACGUAGGUCCCGAGCGUUGUCCGGAUUUAUUGGGCGUAAAGCGAGCGCAGGCGGUUAGAUAAGUCUGAAGUUAAAGGCUGUGGCUUAACCAUAGUACGCUUUGGAAACUGUUUAACUUGAGUGCAAGAGGGGAGAGUGGAAUUCCAUGUGUAGCGGUGAAAUGCGUAGAUAUAUGGAGGAACACCGGUGGCGAAAGCGGCUCUCUGGCUUGUAACUGACGCUGAGGCUCGAAAGCGUGGGGAGCAAACGGGAUUAGAUACCCUGGUAGUCCACGCCGUAAACGAUGAGUGCUAGGUGUUAGACCCUUUCCGGGGUUUAGUGCCGCAGCUAACGCAUUAAGCACUCCGCCUGGGGAGUACGACCGCAAGGUUGAAACUCAAAGGAAUUGACGGGGGCCCGCACAAGCGG